AGCGGCUUAGGAUAAUACAAACCAAGAACCUUCAAAGCUCUAAAUGGAGGUGAAAGCCCCCCAGCCCCUG
RNAcentral lists this transfer RNA (70 nucleotides) under Monacoa grimaldii (mirrorbelly). RNAcentral describes it as "tRNA-Trp". It matches the Rfam family "tRNA". From Rfam's summary of the family: Transfer RNA (tRNA) molecules are approximately 80 nucleotides in length. Their secondary structure includes four short double-helical elements and three loops (D, anti-codon, and T loops). RNAcentral also lists the same sequence under 1 other name. The record is from RNAcentral. Lineage: Eukaryota; Metazoa; Chordata; Actinopteri; Argentiniformes; Opisthoproctidae.